Molecule: long non-coding RNA, 1379 nt
Organism: Malaclemys terrapin pileata
Lineage: Eukaryota; Metazoa; Chordata; Testudines; Emydidae
Exons: 3
Source: RefSeq, a predicted model, not a curated record
ACAUUUCCUGUUCUGCCUGGUGACAAACAGGUCUACCUGGGAAGUCCCCCACCACUGGAAACUGACCUUUAUUACAUCGGACUGAAGGGACCACUUGUGGGGACUGGAAAAGGACCUGCUGAAGUGAUCUGCCAGCUCAUUCCAGGCUCCCUAGAAGGGACAAGGGUAUUCUGCUCAUUUAUAAGCAGGUCCAGCACCUGAAAGGUCGACUAUAUGGAGUUGGAUAAUGGCCUCCACCUGGGCCUGGCCUUUGACCAGCCAGUCAUCGAGGUCCUGACGGGGAAGUGGAGCUGAGAAAUGGUUGGAGUGUUGAGGCCUGAAGUGCUUUGUUGAAGGCUUCAGAGUGUAAAGACCCAGGACUUAAGGGUGGCUCUGGAAUCUUUCAGGCCAUGGAGCUUCACAUCUGUUUGCUCUGAGAAGAGUGAAGCGUCUUCAAGUGAAAGGUCCUGAAUCGACUGCUGGAUCCCUGUUGGCAGUCAUGAGGAUUGGAACCAAAAGCAUGACUAUUGCAAAAGCUAGGGAUCUAGCCACCGAGUCUGCUGUGUCCAGGGCAGCCUGCAGGAAAGCCCUGACUACAGACUUCCCCUCCUCUACCAGAGAAGAGAACUACUGCCUGAAUUCCUGGGGAAGCGAGUCCUUGAAUUUCAACAAAGUCCCAGACAAUGAAAUCGUACCUCCCCAGCAAGGCCUGCUAAUUGGAGAUGCUGCGCUGUAGAACCCCUGUAGAAGAAACCUUUCUACCAAAAAGGUCUAGUCUCUGUGUCUUUUGCCUUGGGGGGGGAUCGCUGCUUGUUGCCCUUGUCUGUCCCUCUUGUUGGUCACUGAGACCACCAGGAACUCAGGAGGGAGUGGGAGUACAAGUACUCAUACCCAUGAGAGGGAUCAAAAUACUUCUUUUUUGGCUCUUUUUGAGGUGGAAGGCAAGGAAGAUGGGGUUUUCACAGAACUUUAACUGGCCCAUGCUGGCCUUAUUGAGAGGGAGAGCCACCUUUGACAGGGCUGCCGCAGUCAAAAUAUUGACCAGGCUGUGGGAGGGCUCUUUAACUACCUCUACUUCCAGCAAGAGGUUCGAAAGCCACUCUUUUCAAGAGCUCCUGAUGAGCUUUGAAGUCAUCAUGGGGAGGUGACAUGCCCACCCCUGACACUGCCUCAUCUGGAGAAGAGGAUGAGGAGUUCUGCACCAGCAGGGGUGAUCCUCUUCUUCUUCUGGUCUGAUCCGAUCCUGAGGAUUGGAACUGGGUUUGGUAUUGGAGUCCAUGUCCGGUGCUGCUCAAUGGGAGGGAGGUGCUCUCCUCUCUGAGACCACCGAGUAUUAGCACCUGGAAGGGAGUCCCUGCACUGGGGGAAAAACCCAGAGUUUCCAAAAUGGCCAUUGCAUC